CCGAAAGGCAGGAGUGCCUGCAAGGGAGCGCGGAGACAGGUGGUGCAUGGCUGUCGUCAGCUCGUGUCGUGAGAUGUUGGGUUAAGUCCCGCAACGAGCGCAACCCUCACCUCUUGUUGCCAUCAGGUCAUGCUGGGCACUCUAGAGGAACUGCCCCGGUCAACGGAGAGGAAGGCGGGGAUGACGUCAAGUCAUCAUGCCCCUUACGUCCUGGGCUACACACGUGCUACAAUGGCCGGUACAAAGGGAUGCCACACCGCGAGGUAGAGCUAAACCCAAAAAGCCGGUCUAAGUUCGGAUUGGAGUCUGCAACUCGACUCCAUGAAGGAGGAAUCGCUAGUAAUCGCGUAUCAGCACGACGCGGUGAAUACGUUCCCGGGCCUUGUACACACCGCCCGUCACACCACGAAAGCCAG
RNAcentral lists this ribosomal RNA (416 nucleotides) under uncultured bacterium. Its description in RNAcentral is "bacterial SSU rRNA". It matches the Rfam family "Bacterial small subunit ribosomal RNA", at positions 1001 to 1414 of the family's 1533-position model. The record is from RNAcentral.